This 477-nucleotide ribosomal RNA is filed under the name uncultured bacterium. Its description in RNAcentral is "partial 16S ribosomal RNA". It matches the Rfam family "Bacterial small subunit ribosomal RNA", at positions 30 to 507 of the family's 1533-position model. The record is from RNAcentral.
UGAACGCUAGCGGGAGGCUUAACACAUGCACGCCGAGGGGUAUAGUUCUUUCGGGAACUAGAGACCGGCGCACGGGUGCGUAACGCGUAUGCAACUUGCCCUACUGAAAAGGAUAGCCCUUCGAAAGGAGGAUUAAUACUUUAUAACAGAUUUAAUGGCAUCAUUAGAUUUUGAAAGAUUUAUCGCAGUAGGAUAGGCAUGCGUAAGAUUAGUUAGUUGGUGAGGUAACGGCUCACCAAGACGAUGAUCUUUAGGGGGCCUGAGAGGGUGAACCCCCACACUGGUACUGAGACACGGACCAGACUCCUACGGGAGGCAGCAGUGAGGAAUAUUGGACAAUGGGUGGAAGCCUGAUCCAGCCAUCCCGCGUGUAGGAUGACGGCCUUAUGGGUUGUAAACUACUUUUAUCUGGGGAUAAACCUACUUACGUGUAAGUAGCUGAAGGUACCAGAAGAAUAAGCACCGGCUAACUCCGUG